Molecule: ribosomal RNA, 264 nt
Filed under: uncultured bacterium
Lineage: Bacteria
Description: partial 16S ribosomal RNA
Rfam family: Bacterial small subunit ribosomal RNA
Source: RNAcentral
AAACAAAGGGAAGCGAGCCUGUGAAGGGGAGCAAAUCCCAAAAAUAACGUCCCAGUUCGGAUUGUAGUCUGCAACCCGACUACAUGAAGCUGGAAUCGCUAGUAAUCGCGGAUCAGAAUGCCGCGGUGAAUACGUUCCCGGGUCUUGUACACACCGCCCGUCACACCAUGGGAGUCGGAAAUGCCCGAAGUCUGUGACCUAACCGUAAGGAAGGAGCAGCCGAAGGCAGGUCGGAUGACUGGGGUGAAGUCGUAACAAGGUAGC